GAUGAACGCUGGCGGCGUGCUUAACACAUGCAAGUCGAACGGGAUCCAAGGGGUGCUUGCACUUUUUGGUGAGAGUGGCGCACGGGUGAGUAACACGUGAGUAACCUGUCCUUUUCUUUGGGAUAAGCAUUCGAAAGGGUGUUUAAUACCUUAUGUUCUGUCUGCCUCGCAUGGGGUGGGUGGGAAAGGCUUUGGCCGGAUUUGGGUGGGCUCGCGGUCUAUCAGCUUGUUGGUGGGGUGAUGGCUUACCAAGGCUUUGACGGGUAGCCGGCCUGAGAGGGUGGUCGGUCACAUUGGGACUGAGAUACGGCCCAGACUCCUGCGGGGGGCAGCAGUGGGGGAUAUUGCACAAUGGGCGAAAGCCUGAUGCAGCGACGCCGCGUGGGGGAUGAAGGCCUUCGGGUUGUAAACUUCUUUUGCUCUGAACAAGGCAUGCCAGUGGGUGUGUUGAGUGUAGGGGUUGAUUAGCGCCGGCUAACUACGUG
This 485-nucleotide ribosomal RNA is filed under the name uncultured bacterium. RNAcentral describes it as "partial 16S ribosomal RNA". It matches the Rfam family "Bacterial small subunit ribosomal RNA", at positions 28 to 507 of the family's 1533-position model. The record is from RNAcentral.